CGCCGCGGCCGCGGCUGCUGCGGGGGGCGCGGCGGGCGCAGCGGAGCGGCGGGCGGCGGCGCGAGCGGCUCGCUCCAGUCCCCGCGCGGGCGGCGGCGGCGGCGUCGAGCGGUGCAGACAAAGGAGGGGCGGAGGGAGGAGACGGAGGGUGUGGGAGAGGCGGCUUCACCGGCGCGGGCAGGCGGGCGGCGGCGGCCGCGCUCCUCUCGCUCCUCGGCAGCGGGGACCGAGAGAGGGAGCUGUGUCUGAGGAGACGCCAAAAUCCCCCUUAGCGUUGCCUGCGGGAGGGGGAGGGGGCACAAGAUGGCGGCGGCCGGGGGGGCGGGAGUUCAGCUCAUGGAUCCCGGCGGGCGGCGGAGGGGAGACCGGGCCGGCGGAGGCGGCGGCGGCAACGGGCGGGGGAGGGGGCCGAUCCCGCGUCUCCCCUCAGCAGACAAUACAAGCGCCUCGGAGCGAGUCCCCGAACCUGCCCUAGCCAAAAUGGCGGCCGAGAAAGAGCGGAAGUGACCUGCAGUGAGAGCGGGUCACACCGUACGGCACAUCCCCAGUGAAGCCAACUCCACUGCAAGCGGCGUGAACGGUUACACGGAGCUCCCUGCCCAAGACCUCAGUCAGCAAGUGUAACAAUCGGUCUUUGCUCGAACGCCAGCAGGCCACCAAUUCCCGAACUGUGAUAAAGUACAUCUGCAGAAGCCAAGUCAGUAUCGCAGUGGACAACGGAGGCAAAGGCGGAGGAGGCAAAGGCAAGCCACCCAACGCCAAGGCCCGGAGACUGCCCGCUGACUCCGGAGGGCAGGCCAGAGUCAGCGCGGCGACACCGGAGUCCCUUGCGUUUCCCUGCUACAGCUCUCCGUACAACGGUAGCACAAGCACAAACGGAGAACAUCUGGAUUUCAUCCUUGGCCACGUUUGUGAAGCAAGAGAGAUGCUGGAUUCAGAUGUUCAACGAUGAAGACGAAGAGGAUUUAUGUUCAAAAUGGUGCCAAAGCAUUUGUAAGUCUAGUAUUCGUUUCUGGUAGGGUCAGAGAGAAACACAAAUGAAAACGGAAGGCCUUCAGGAAAAUGUAGUUAUUAGGAUCCCUGUUCACUAAAUAUGACAAAUAGCUGAGACAUUUAUUUACAAAGAAAAGUCCACUUGACCUCAAGCAUACUGUCAUUACUCAUUUCAUAGACACUACAGGAGCCAAAAGCUAUGCUACGAUUUCUGUGGUUCAAUACCUGCUUUAGAGAAGCUUGGUAAGUGGGAUUUUCGCCCUGGCCUUACUGAGCAACUUACCCAGCAGUUUAACUGACAGGAGAUAUGAGCUACUGGGAAGAUUCUGUCAUAUUAGUAAGGAUACAGGAGCUCGGUGGAGGGUCUUGAAAUAGCAUGAAAACAAAUGUUUUCAGUAAAAUGUGUAAAAAUCGCUGUAACUGCUACGUUUAUGCCUGUUACCAGUACUUCCUUAUUGAUAGAGGUUAUGCUCAACAGAGAAGACAGACACUGUGCAGUUAACUGCUGCCCCGCUUCCUUCCAACUCCCAGUCCACACGCUGCACACUUCACUGGCAGACGGCUCCCCAUUCAGCAGCUAGAAAGAACCCAACUCAACAGUGUGCUCCAAGUGUCCUCUUUAAUCUGCUGUGAGAAGCUGGAGACAUUAUUUUAAGGAAAGGCUAGAUGUCUGUAUUUUUUAAUUCAUACAGAAAUCAUGAAUGUUCUUAACCUAUAUCUUCUGGUACAAUCUAGGUAUAAAGAACUACGACUCCAGGUUAUAUAGGGAAUAUUUCACUUUCUCAUGUAAGAAAUUCUGGAUUCAUAUGCUCUAAUGAAGUCAAUAUUUUAUGCAAAAAAAAUCCAUAUACAUUUAUUCAUAGGUCUUAAUACAGCAAAACAUAAAUCAAAGUGGAGAACAUUGCCCAUUCAACCAGUAAAUUUGAAAUUGUUUAAUUUUUAGUAUAAAAUGGAGCUUUUCCACAAAAUGUAUCUGCAUGGGAUUCACCUUCCCUUCUGCUUCAUGCUCUAAGAGUACAUUUACAGACAGCAGUAAUCAGGCUGCUCUCUUGCUUACAUUCACAUGAACAUGGUAAGCACAAAGGAGCAACCGUCUUUUAUGUAGUAGCGAAAAGAGUCAAUAAUCCUUUCAAGAAUGAGACUAUUUCAUUUCCUCCCAACUUGGAUUCACCAUAAACACGAUCCACAAAUGAUAUUGGAACCUAGUUGAGAAAACAGUACAGUCAGUCUUCAAGACACCAGACAGGACGUCCAGAGCUGCAGGCCGCCGUGACUCACACAACAGACCAAGGCUGAGUCCUGCAGUCCUGGGUUCUCAGAAUGUGGCAUGUUACUUGGUGCCAGCUGCGUACCUCAGCAAUGGUGUAAUUCAGCUGCCGGGCCCGAACAAUCAUCUCCAUCUGGAAGACGUAGCCUUUAGAAACGCACUUUUCUAUCAACUUUUGUAGAACUUCUUUUCGAUAUAAU
This is a non-coding RNA of Oryctolagus cuniculus (rabbit), 2460 nucleotides long. The record is from RefSeq and is a predicted model, not a curated record. Lineage: Eukaryota; Metazoa; Chordata; Mammalia; Lagomorpha; Leporidae.